RNAcentral lists this ribosomal RNA (693 nucleotides) under uncultured bacterium. RNAcentral's name for it is "bacterial SSU rRNA". It matches the Rfam family "Bacterial small subunit ribosomal RNA", at positions 32 to 715 of the family's 1533-position model. The record is from RNAcentral.
AACGCUAGCUACAGGCUUAACACAUGCAAGUCGAGGGGCAUCAGGAAGAAAGCUUGCUUUCUUUGCUGGCGACCGGCGCACGGGUGAGUAACACGUAUCCAACCUGCCGAUGACUCGGGGAUAGCCUUUCGAAAGAAAGAUUAAUACCCGAUGGUAUAUCUGAAUGGCAUCUUUCAGCUAUUAAAGAAUUUCGGUCAUUGAUGGGGAUGCGUUCCAUUAGGUUGUUGGCGGGGUAACGGCCCACCAAGCCAUCGAUGGAUAGGGGUUCUGAGAGGAAGGUCCCCCACAUUGGAACUGAGACACGGUCCAAACUCCUACGGGAGGCAGCAGUGAGGAAUAUUGGUCAAUGGACGAGAGUCUGAACCAGCCAAGUAGCGUGAAGGAUGACUGCCCUAUGGGUUGUAAACUUCUUUUAUACGGGAAUAAAGUUAGGCACGUGUGCCUUUUUGUAUGUACCGUAUGAAUAAGGAUCGGCUAACUCCGUGCCAGCAGCCGCGGUAAUACGGAGGAUCCGAGCGUUAUCCGGAUUUAUUGGGUUUAAAGGGGGCGUAGGCGGAUGCUUAAGUCAGUUGUGAAAGUUUGCGGCUCAACCGUAAAAUUGCAGUUGAAACUGUUAGUCUUGAGUGUACAUAAGGUAGGCGGAAUUCGUGGUGUAGCGGUGAAAUGCUUAGAUAUCACGAAGAACUCCGAUUG